RNAcentral lists this ribosomal RNA (406 nucleotides) under uncultured bacterium. RNAcentral describes it as "partial 16S ribosomal RNA". It matches the Rfam family "Bacterial small subunit ribosomal RNA", at positions 29 to 526 of the family's 1533-position model. The record is from RNAcentral.
AUUGAACGCUGGCGGCAGGCCUAACACAUGCAAGUCGAACGAGGGGCGGACGGGUGAGUAAUGUCUGGGAAACUGCCCGAGGGAGGGGGCAAACUACUGAACAAGGUAGAUAAUACCGCAUACCCUCAGAUGUGCCCAUAUGGGAAUAGCGAGUGGGGGGGGUAAGGGCUCACCUAGGCGACGAUCACUAGCUGGUCGGAGAGGAUGACCAGCCACACUGGAACUGAGACACGGUCCAGACUCCUACGGGAGGCAGCAGUGGGGAAUAUUGCACAAUGGGCGCAAGCCUGAUGCAGCCAUGCAGCGUGUAUGAAGAAGGCCUUCGGGUUGUAAAGUACUUUCAGCGAGGAGGCGUUACUCGCAGAAGAAGCACCGGCUAACUCCGUGCCAGCAGCCGCGGUAAUUC